GAUGAACGCUGGCGGCGUGCCUAAUACAUGCAAGUCGAGCGAACAGACGAGGAGCUUGCUCCACUGACGUUAGCGGCGGACGGGUGAGUAACACGUGGAUAACCUACCUAUAAGACUGGGAUAACUUCGGGAAACCGGAGCUAAUACCGGAUAAUAUAUUGAACCGCAUGGUUCAAUAGUGAAAGACGGUUUUGCUGUCACUUAUAGAUGGAUCCGCGCCGCAUUAGCUAGUUGGUAAGGUAACGGCUUACCAAGGCAACGAUGCGUAGCCGACCUGAGAGGGUGUUCGGCCACAUUGGAAAUGAGACACGGUCCAAACUCCUACGGGAGGCAGCAGUAGGGAAUCUUCCGCCAUGAGCGAAAGCCUGACGGUGCAACGUCUCGUGAGUGAUGAAGGUCUUCGGAUCGUAAAACUCUGUUAUUAGUGAAGCACAAAUGUGUAACUAACUAUGCACUGCUUGACGGUACCUAGUCAGAAAGCCACGGCUAACUACGUG
This 497-nucleotide ribosomal RNA is filed under the name uncultured bacterium. RNAcentral's name for it is "partial 16S ribosomal RNA". It matches the Rfam family "Bacterial small subunit ribosomal RNA", at positions 28 to 507 of the family's 1533-position model. The record is from RNAcentral.